This is a non-coding RNA of Puccinia sorghi, 72 nucleotides long. Lineage: Eukaryota; Fungi; Basidiomycota; Pucciniomycetes; Pucciniales; Pucciniaceae. The record is from the annotation of a GenBank genome assembly.
GUGUCCUUAGGACAGUGAUUAGUACACUUAACAUGGGCAUAAGAGAUAAGGGUUUGAUUCCCACAGGACACA